RNAcentral lists this unclassified non-coding RNA (5881 nucleotides) under Leishmania donovani. RNAcentral describes it as "gene:LdHU3.03.0410(CDS-product:PTP1-interacting_p rotein_39_kDa_putative)". Lineage: Eukaryota; Euglenozoa; Kinetoplastea; Trypanosomatida; Trypanosomatidae. The record is from RNAcentral.
GAGAGGGGUGGCAGUGCUGCGACCGCGUGCGUACUGCCCUGCCAAGACCGCAUCCCACGCACACGCACGCUUAUACUUGCUCUGAAAAACGGCCACACACACACACACUCGACGGCCCAUCGCUCGAUCGCAAGAGCGGAACGAAUGCGAAAAGGGCCACCAAGAGUUAAGCCGAUAUCGCCGCUGCCGCAGCAGCAGCAGGGCUCCUCGCAAGCGCGCACGCGCACGCGCAAACAGACACAUAGAAUCACCAGUCACUGAUAUUCUCUACAAAUUCUCUCGCGCAUGCGGACGUACGCAUAGACCGAUUUCGCAAACGCACUCACGCCACGCACCAUCAUCGCCCGCGCGCACACUCAGAGAAAGAGAAAGAGGCAGGCCGCUAGAUACGCAGAGUCGUCGCUGCCUUUGUACGUCUACGCGAACAACACACGCCGACGGACGGACGAGUAGACAGACAGACAGACAGACAGACAGGCGCGCACAGAAGGGCGCCAUGCCGAGGCUGCACGCCAUCUCGCAGGGUAUGUGGCAUCACAUUCAGCAACAGCAGCAGCAGCAACGUCCGGCACGGCAGAUGCAACUUGCUGAGCCGAACAUCGGCGGCGUCCCGGCGCAGCUGUCGCCGAUGGCAACGCCGGCCCCCACACGAGUGCGAAUGGUGUGUGUGCAGGAAGGCGAAAACAGAACGGUACUGGUGCAGGAAAGCCCCCGCAUCGACCACACUCAGAAAUCGCACUCACAGCAGCCACAUCCGGAUUCAGAGGAGUCCCACGUACGCUCAGCUGCGCGCUUGAUGCACCGCAGCGGCAGGACAGCGCUACCACUGCCGCAUGGCGCGCUCACAAACUCGGAGGUGGCUGUCUGUGGCGAUGAUGCAGAAAAUGGUUUCCACAGAAGACGAGAGCGGCGACCGCGGUUACCCUCACCACGAACCUCGCGCACGCUGGAGGAGUUGUUUAACGAGGAGCUGAUUGCAGAGGAGCAGCGCGUGGCGCUCUUGUCGGCGCACCAGCUCACCAUUACGGCGGGAGAAGAGGAUCUGUUCUCGAAAGCUCCGACUCGCUCGUACAGCAGCAUCGUGGAAGCCGGGCAGCGGGUCAUGGCGAUGACGAACGCGUCCAGCCGAACCACGCGGCGUCAGUGUACGGUCGACGCGCCGCUGCCAACGCCUAGCGAGGCUAGUGCGGUGGUGAGAGCUGUGCCUCACACGUGCCUGGAGCCGCUGCGGGUGUGGCUGCCAAGGCGCGUGGAAGCGCUUUCCGCGCUGACAUGUGAGGGCAGUCCGCCAAUCACGCGCGUCGCGGCGAGCGGCGACCGCAGCCAAGCGCGAACUCGCGCAGGCGACGGUGAUGACGGCUUCCCAGUCGCUCUGUGGCGCCGCACACCGUGCAGCACACCGCCGCGCGCAGGGGUGGCAAUGGCCGAUGCAGACGGCGCACCUACGUCGCUGCUGUCGUCUCCGCACUGGUGCGUGACGGCUUAUGAGCCGCUGAGCCUGUCACUACCGGCGACGGCGCGGUGUGCCGACGGCGAUAGUGAAGGGCCGGUGCUUCAGCAGGCACCUAUCAGCACCACCACCCUUACUCAUCUCAGCAGCACUGUGGACAGCAGCAUUCUGGGCCGCAGCGGCGCUCGCGAAGGCGAUGACGCGGUGAACGGCGCGGAAGACGAUGAAGAGGCUGCUGCGGUGGGUGCCUGCCGUGAUCAUCGUCCACCCACAGCGAUGGCGUCAGCGCACGGCUCAGCACCCACUACCACGGCGGUGACGCGGGUGUACUGGGGUGCUGCUCCACCGUUGAGAGGGAUGGCGCCGAGUGUUCUGCACCACGGCGGCGCGAGUGGCAUGGGUGCUGAUGGCGAUGCUGGUGAUGCAGGCGGCGACGGUGCGGCCUUCGCAGGCCGCAGGAGCUCUGGUCAGAACAUUCUCAGCAGUGUGCAAGGCGGCGCAAGGGGCUAUGAUGGCGUUGGCGCGCGUCCUUCACGCAGCUCCGCCACCGCUGCAGUUGAUCGCCAUGAGCCGUUCUGUGAGCUGCCAUCUUCGCUGUUGCCCGUGAUGCGCCGGCGACCACCCGCCGUCCCGGGCCCCGACGCGUGUGUGCCGCCGCAGUCGAUGGAGCUGCGGAUCACCCUUCCCUGGUUGCUGCACACCUCCACGCUUCCGCCGGUUGCGGCCGAAGUGCUGGCACGCUGUCUGGGGGCACACAUCAGAGCGCAUCUGCGACCAGAGGGGGCAGCGCAGUGGAGGCAGGAUGGUGCGUGCCGCCCUCGACUCAGCGGGACAUGCGCACCGGGGCCUGCAGCGGCACGUCCACAGCCCAUGUCUUCACGGAGGGAUGACCCACCGCCGUGCUGGGUGGCGGCCUUUGCGUACACGGAGGGGAUUCAGAUGUACGCGACGAAUCACGCCGCGUCCCUCGUCCACGCCAAGGAGAGCACCGAAGGGUUCGAGGCGUCUCGCGAUUACCAGGCAAGCCCGCGUCACGACCCUUGCGGUCUCGCCCCAGAGGCGCCGCUAGAACGCAUCUCCUGGCCUGCGUGGGUGCCGGAUGCGCAGACGAGUGUCCGCAUGCUCGCCGCGCUCACCUCGGGUGCCUUCCAGCUGAUCGAGGCGAUCGCGCGAGCCCUCGGCCAGGCGGCCGCUGCUGGCAACUGUUCUGCUGCUGCUGCGCUGGCAGACAUGGAUACAGCGGAAGAAGGCAACACUGAAGCCCGCAGUGUCCGAAGGUCCGCAUGCAACGCAGGAGGUCAGCUGCACAUCGGCGGUGGCACGUCACGCUCCUCCACGACGCUCUCUCGAGAUCCCGCCACCGUGCUGCAUCAGUUUCAUGUCUUCUCUGAGGCCAUCUUCGGUGAUGCGGCCAACAAGCGUCUUUGCCGACAUGUCCGCGAUCGCCUCCCGCUGCACGUGCAGGACUUGAGCGAGUUGUUGAGUCGGCCGUGGUGCGGCGGCGCAAGGGAAGACGAGGACGGCGAUGUGGCCACCACCACAACUGCCGUCGCCGCUACCGGCGUGUGGCGUGCUCGCUGCCCCUCCAUGCUGGAUCUUGUGCACCACCUCGCCCGUGCGUGGAUGGCGGAGUGCUUUACCGGCCUGGCGAACCGGCUGCACGCGUUCCUGACCACCCACGAUCCCGGCGUCGUGUUCGACCUCAUCAGUGCACGUGCGAACGACAGCGACGACGCCGUGCCCCAUGACAGCCUCUGCAACUGUGCGAGGCUGCUGAAGAGGAUGUGUACCGAGGAGUGUGGUGAGAACGCCUGUGCGCAUCAGCGGGGUCCCGCUCCGGCGCGCGAGCGGCACUGCGACCAGCGCGAACGCCAUGACUGCUCAGUUCACUCGCGCGCAGUGCCGGGAGCCGCGACCGCAGCCGCGUCGGUGCUCCCGCCACAUGCGUUGAUCUACCGAGGCGUCGCAGAGUUCACCCACGGGCCUCUGCAGCGGUGGGAGCGGUGGUGGUGGUCACCGUCGUCGACCCCUGCCGCACAUUCCCUGGCCACCAACACUACUGCCAGCGUCGUGGCCAUGCAAUGGUCAACUCACGUCAACUACGCCACCGUGCGCUCCCUCCAGUGGGUGCUACGCCACCCUCUCGACGCGCACGCGGUCGCAGAUGGUGCGCGGCAGUCCGCAUCGAACCUGGCUGCUGUCACGGACAUGCGGGCGCUGCUGGAGCUGCUAACAUUGAUGCCGCCGCUCCUGGACACGACGGCGCUGCUGAUGUACGAGGCGGAGGCGGUGCUACGCGGCGCCUGCGCUUGCGUGAUGGGAAACGCCGGCGAUCGCGGUGGCGGUGGUACGGCGAUCAUGACGAGCGGCGCGCACAGCCACAACGCUAUCACCACCGGCAUCCGAGCAACGCCGUCGCGCGCCGCGACGCAAGGGUUCCACGCGUACUACCGCGUCUUCCUCGGACUUGUGUGCUACGGUGCAAUGCAGCUGAGCGACGCUGAGGGCAUGGCGCUGCUGUCACGGCCGCGGCUGCAGCCAACGGGCGUGGAGCCCUCGACGGCAGCGCCCCACCACCGUGACGCUGCAUCGCCUUUGCCAGAGCUGCGUUCAGCACAGGCUACCGUGGACGGUCUGUGGACAAGGUACAUACUGCCGCUCGUGGUGGGUUACGUCAGCGGCAGCGGUACAGGGGCUGCGCCCGCAGCUCGCAUGGAUGCGUUGACAGCCGCGGAUCAGUGCAUCACGUACGCACUGAUGCUGCUGCAGCUGCUGCGGCUUGAAGGGCGAAGCGCGCGCCAUGGUGGCCGCGGAUGUGCACAAAACCCCGCCCUCCCAAAUGGAGCCCAGCAGGAUGUGCCUAACUGCGGCGUGUCGUCGUCGUCGCGGCACCGACGCAAGCGUGCCCGCUCCUCCGCUGUGGGAGGGCCGGAACCGCAUCCAUGGGGCAACUCACGGAGCGCUGGCUCGUGUGGCGAAGACGCUCGGCCGAGGUGGUGGGCACCAUCACCGACAACCGCGGAUGAGCACCCCGCCACCGCUCGCUCCCCGCGGCCGGAGAGCGUUUCCAGCUCCGCCUUCACCGCAGAUACAGCGACGACGACAACAACAACGGCCACAACGCGCCGGUGCGCCAACAGCGGUCUUGACAGCAUCAACGAGCUCGAGCGAGUUGGCGCGACUACGACGGAAUCGCAAUACAUGGCAGCGCCGGCGUUCGCCCACGCUCCGCGGCCCGGUCACAGAGACGAGCAGAGCGUUGCACCCAACGCCGCCAGCGGCGCGGUGGACGGCAUCGUGGGCAUGUCGCCCAAGGAGCAGACGGCUCCCUCGCCGCAUCGCAUCCCUCCCCUGGAGCUUCUCGCUCAAGGAGACGCGGGAGAAGCAGCAGCAGCAGCAGCCACACCGCAGUGUCCUCCCUGUCCUGCGCCUCCACCCGAUUGGCAGGGUGUGUGCCGGCAGCUGAUUCGCCGUUGGCUGCAGCCGACGAGCGACUGUCAUGGUCGCGGUUGUCGGGCGUCGAACUUCGCCGAAGGGGCGGCGCAGCAUCCGAAGGCCGAUGACAGUGCCGCCGUUAGAGCAAACUGCUUUCCAGGCGGGCGGUCACAGUUGCUCGAUAUCUGCGAGGCAGGCGGUGGCCACACUCUGCACCGUCGCGAUGUCCGUCGCGUCGGCGCUCUUUUGGCGGGCCUGGCGCUACGCGUCGCGGCCGUCCGUGAGGAGGAACAGGGCGCGCACGCCGUAAGCCCCCACAGCGACGGUACUGGAUGCUGCUAUGAUUACCUCUACGGCGUGCUGCCGCCUGGACUGCGCGCAAGGGACGCUGGCCUCAUCACCGUCGCCUCCACCUCCAGUUCUGACGACGGCGAGGAUAGCGACACGGACAGUGCAGGGGAGAAUGCAGAGACGGAUGACAACCCCUGCAAUGUAAACAUCCUGCACUGUGUUGCGUCCACAAUCAGCACCAGCAGCAGCAGCAGCAACACCCUCGGCACCACCCCUUCGGCGGCAUUGGUGUCGCCGCUAUCGUCAUCCCUGUCAACAUCGCCGUGACGCAGUAUCCGAGCGAGGCGGAGCGGACCUCAGCGCAGCGCCGCUUGUUGCUCAGCUCUGCGUUGGCUUGUUCUUCUUCUGCCUCCCCCCCCUCCUCGACUUCAGUGGAUCGCCUUUACUGCGCUGCGUCAGGACACGUACACGCACGUGCACGGACUGACGCCACCUAUUUACCGUGUUGCACACAUGCACGCAACCGUUUCCGUCGCAAGCCUGCGCUGGCCUCUUGGGUUAGUUGGUUAGCUUGCUGAUGUUUCGCUUUCAUCUUCUUUGUUGGGGUCUUCGCCUUCGUCUCGCCCACCCGCCUCUGUCGUGCCGUCUUCUCUGGCGCAUGGGUGUGAUGUACGUGUUGCACGGCCCCGGUCCCGCGCAUAUCAG